GCGUCCUCUGCGCGUUGCCCGGGUUUCAGCUCGCCGCCGGAGAGCCGGACAGUGAGGUGGUGCUGUGGGUCCGGGCUACAGUUCAGCUGGCUGCACUGAGGCCCAGGACCGUGGGCAUAGGCGUCCCCAGCUGGAGGCAGCUCCGACGCCGGCCAAGCCUCAGGCGGCAGGGGUGCGGGCCGCUGCCAGGAUGGCGUGCGAGGUCCCUCGAAGCCCGGCCUGGCUCCCGUGGACCCUCUGCGCCGCGCUUUCUUGCCCUUUCCCACACAGAGGCGGGCAGCAGCUCCCGGGGCUGCCUGGGGGCGCACAGGGAGGGCGCAGGCCUCGCCACCCGCCGCCGCCUCCGUGGUCCGCCUCUCUGCAAGCAGACGGCAGGACGGGCGCCUUCUUCCGGAAGCUGGGAACUGAGGGAAGUCCUCCGAGCGCCCGGUGCCGGGAGAUUCGCCGUGCCUGCGGUCACCCGGAGCGGGCCCGUGGUGCUGGCGCUUUCCAGCUGCCUGUGGUGGCGAGCCCGAGGCGGGGGAGGGCGAGGCCAGGAGGCGACAGAGCCCGGUGUGUGCCCAGGGCGGCCUGCUUGGCCGCUGGUGAGGGGAUUCGGGAAGUGUCUCUCUCCUCACUGGUGCCACCCGCCGCCUGCCCCUGGGGCUGGCUCUCGUUUCUGCCUGGGGCAGGACCUGACAGGUACCUGAGGGGUCGCAAAGAGUUGAACACGACUGAGCAAGUGAACUGAACUGAGGACCAGACGGCAGCUUCUCUGGCGUGCAGGGUGGCUGGCUGCCUCUGCGGUGGGCCCUGAGGCCCAAGAAGAAGGAGGGGCUGUCUCUGUAGACACUGCCUUUGCCCGGGCAACAGCUUGAGAUAGGCAAAGCUCGUGUCUUCCUCGUGGAAGGGGCUGCAGAUCGUCAAGUCCCUUAAUAAGCCCAUCUGAGGCGGUCUGAAGUGUUACCAAAGAAGACGGGGAGGGGUGACCGUGUGAUCAGGGUGCUUCUACUCUCAACCAGGUGGUCCAUGCCGUGCAAAGAUAGGGGAAGAACACCUUCCAGGUUCAGCAGGACUGUGUUCCCCUCCUGCUCUCUUGAGUUGUGGGGUUUGAAGAACACACUGAAUUCUGUUUAAGCCCCUUGGCACGGAAGACUCUGAGUGGGUGGUGGCAGGAGGACUUGAGGUGUCGGGGCAUCGGGACAGGUUGCAAACUGCCAGGUACAGGUGAGUGGUCAGAUGUCCCUGCUCUGUCUUGCAGACCUGGCCGUUUCCAGGGCUCCAUCUCACAUAGGGCCUGCCUGCCUGCCCUGCCUAGCGGCCGUGGUCACUGGCUCGCCCCCUCUUUGUGCAGGAGUCCAAGAACACCUCCAGCAGAGGCCACAGUGGUGUGUGCAGUAUCGCCGCCUAAGAAACCUGGCCGCCAUCCCCGACCACCCCCUUCAGAGUCUCAGAUGUGGGCUACAUCUGUGGAUUGAGAUGAAAAAUCUGCAUAUCUGGUGGGCCUUGGCCUGGUAAUAGCACCGCUGAUGAUCUUAUCAGGUGAAAAAGCCCAGACACGGGGCAGAAGAACCCAGAGACGUGCUGUGGACCUAGCACGCGGCAUCUGCCUUGCCUCUGGGAGGGUCUGGCCGGCUUGCCGAGGGUCCCUGAAGAUGAGGCUGCUGCUGCUCUGACCUGGUGGAAGCGCCCUGCGGACUUCCACUCAUGCUGGGAUUAAUCUAGUUCCAGGCGGGGCGGUGGUUCCUGACACGCUUUGUACACCUCAGACCCAUCUUCCAAGAUGACUGAGGCUGUGCGGGGGAGCUUAACAUUUUAACUGAGGAAGUGGAGACCAUGGCCUUGAGAAUAGUCUGAUGACUUCUCACAGUUUUAAAAAAACAGACUGUGUGUUGGUUGCCAUGCCUGUAGCUUACAAAAAAUUCUGUGUUCUUACAGAACUUACAAAAAGUUCUGUGAUGAGUGGCUUCAGUCAUUAAAAACAAGCAUUUUUAUUUUUAACAAAAUGUGGAGAUGAUGGAGGUGCUGCUGACUGGAUAAGCAUUACCAACAAGGACCACUGGGGGGCGACACAACACGGGGAAAUAGGUCUCACAGAUGUCGUUUUCUUUUCCUUGCAAAUUCUCAACCAUGUUUUUGUAUUUUUAACUAAAUGAAAAUACUGAAAAUAGUAUAGCAGAGAGCACUUUUAAUGGAAAAUUAAUUGAUAACACAGUCUUAUUUCAAUUUUCUGUUUAUUUUUAACUUAAAUGACUGUGUAUAUUCCACAGUCUUACGAUGAGAAAGGCUCUAGAGUCAUGUCCAGGUCUUCUCAACAUUUCAUUUCUUGAGUCGUUUUUUCGCUUUUCUUUGUGCAUUGAUAGGGGCUUCUCAGUUCAGAAACCAAGGCACUAGAACUAUUUUAUCAGCUACAUUAAUACAUUGAAGGUGUAUUUACCCUCUCAUUAAAUAUACAGCAUUUGAAUACAAUGUGGUUUUAUGCAGAUCAGGUUCAAAACACCCAAGGCACACACUUUACUUUUUUUCCUCUUUUUUGUUUCUGUAUUUAUUUGAAGGCUCAUAGUAAAAUUUCAGAAUUUCUAUAAACAAAGAGUUCCAGAGAAGCAAUGGACAAUGAUUGUUGUAAUUUUAAACAUAAUGCGGUAAAGACUGAACUGCAGAAACAUGUUACAGGAACAGGAAAGAAACAAAAGCACUGGUACAGCGUGGGUUAAAAACAAGUGAUCGGAUCCGCUGAAGUCUGAGAAGCCGGUCUGGAAUCGCCCAUCUGCCCACAAAGCCGGGGCAGGCCCAUCUGCACGCGGCUGCCUGGGCACGUGGCGGCCGUGGGACUGAAGCCUUGUUGCGUGUGUACACGGAUCGCUACAAAUACACGAGACGUCCCAGUUUACUGGUUAUUAAAAUGCCUCAGGUAAAGUACAAAUAAACGGAAAAAGUCUUCCAGUAUCUAUUUUUUCCUUAACAAGACAGACGGAUACAUUUAUCUGGAAGAAGCCAUUGGACAGUGGGGCUGGGGGGCGGUGAAGAUCUGAGAGGAACCACUGGAUGGUGUAGCAGGUGGACCUCGGGGAGCGUAAACUACAGAAGAUUCACCGAGGCUGAGAAUUUGGCAUUGACAUAGAAAUGGUGGCUGCUGUUCAAGGGGAGAAUGUGCCAGAGCAGAAGAAACUGCUCCAGAACUAAAGACCGUGAGUUUUCACUGAUGAGACCUAAGAAGAGGUUCAAUAUUUAAAAUAUGCUUCCCUACAGUGGAAGGAAUAGCCCAUGUCUUCUUGGCUCAGUUCUCUGACGGAAGACACGUUCUCUUGCCCCAAGCCUUAGUGCACACUUGUUCAUAAAAAUCUGGUUGGCUCUGCGUCAGCCAGAGAGGCUGCCCAGCCUGCGUGCCCGGCAGCAAGGAGACAGCCAGCUGUGGGUGUGCGCGAUCCUCUGCUCUGAGGAGCAAGGUCUGCACCUGGCUCUCCCGCCACGCCCUUCUGCAUCCAUCUCAGACAGGAGAGCCGGGCCUCGGCUCCCUCACAGCAGUGUUCACAGACGUCCGUGGUGCUGCUCUCGUGGUUCUAAAAUAAUGCUCGUUUCCACCUGUACAGUGAGAAAACUUGCAGGAGAUGGAACCAAGGCAGAGGAGCUCACUGAAAGGAUUUUCACUCUUUGGGCAGAUAUUAUCUGGUCAGUUUCAUAGAGGUCAAGUGGCUGGAUUGUAAGCUUGGCAACUUUUUAAUUCAGGAAGGUCUCACUGUUUGCAAUCAGAACCACAACCUUAGUGCAAUAGUAUAUUUAUUUUUUCUUUUUACAGUAAUUUUGGUUGCCAUACAAGAGAUGUUAAGAAUUGGGAGAAAGUGCAAAUUACAGGAGCUUGUUUUUAUGUUUUUAAUAAGGUCUAAAAAGAAUAAAAGCACAAAAGUAACAGAAACAUAGAUAAUGCGAACACAUGUUACACAAACUAUAGUGUGAAACAUACUAGUUUCUAAAAAAACGAAAAUUUUGUUAAUGGGAAAAACCAGUAUUUGUGGUCCACACAGUCAUUGCCCGAUCACCCUGGGUAAUGCUUGCUUGUUAAAUAACUCGAAAAAAAUCACCAUUUUAUUAACUAAAGUAUCACAAAUGAUUCACUUUGUGAUAUGUAAAGUUCAGCAAAUCAACAGUCACGUUGAGUCAUUUUUAUAUUAUGGAUUAACUUAAAAUGUGCAGACACCCUGGAGAAGGUAUCUUGGCAGGUAUACAUAAUUUACAUCUUGAGCAAUUUUGGUUUUGUAUACACAAUAUUACAGAAACUAGGCAUGUAAAUGCAAUUUAUUUAAAUUACAGUAUAUAACAAAAGUGGAUCUUUUUAAAACCUGGAAUAAGUAUUAACAUAAUCUUUAUAUGAGCAGUUUAACAUCUGUUUCACCGUUGAAGAGGGGCGUGGGGUAGGGCCUGGUCCUGACGUGUUUCAAGGGGGAGAACAGUGGGCGGUGGGUCAAAUGAGGAACUAUUGCUUUCUGUAGCAAAUCCGGUGGAGAGAGCUAGAGACCGAUUCAUCUUGGCAAGUGUUUUGUUGAUCAGUGCAGGUUCUGAUGGGUCCUGUUACUUCUCUAUAGUGAGAGUGUGAACCACCAACGCGGUCAGCUUUGCUUGCUUCUGGUCAGUUGCAUGUGACUCGGAAGUCUCUCUAAGGGAGUAGCAGCCGAGCCUCACCUCCUGGCUGCCCACGUCCAGCCAACCCCAACGCCCCACGCUGCCGUUGGGUACCAUCUGCCCGAGGCUCCUUUCACUCUCAUCCUGUCUAGCGUGUUGCCUGGCACUGAGCAGAGAGGUGAGACCGGCAAAGGAGAAACGAGCCGUGGUGGGGCGCUGUGCUUACUGGGUUUCGCAUCACCACCAGAGGGAAGACAGAUAAGGGCCAAGUCACCAUCUUAUGCUUUCCGAACUGUCAGCAGCCUUAGCAGGCCACCCGUAGUAUCUUGGCUUGAAACUUCUCUGGGAUUAUAUUCAUCUCAUGAUGGAAAAAUCGAAAGUACAUGGAAGUAAAACACCUUAAUAUUAAAUUGACUUCAUUCAAAUACCAAGAUUGACCUGCAACAGGUUUUGGAACAGAAGGCCCCAAACUCAAUUUCCAAUUCAGGGACAUGGGGCUGGAAAAACUCUGUGUGUGGUGACUGUGUGUGUUUUUGCAGAAAACUGCUGCAUCAUGAAUUACAACCACUUUUGAAGAAAUAAUUGUCCUUCGACGUUGAAGUUCUAGCAAAGAUAGAAAAUAUAGCACAGCUCUGCUGGUUCCGAUGCAUCCAAUAAGGUUGAUUUAAAAAGGUCGUACUUUUAUAAUUAUUCCACAGAAAUAGUAGUAUUAAAUCACAAAAGUUUGUUUUUCUUUAACUUUCUAGCACUGAAGUGGCACAAAGGCUGCCUAGUAGACCAGCCACUUUUUUUUCCCUUAAAAUAUUGUGCUUAUAAACUAUCUGUACAACUAUUUAAACUUGCAGUAAAGAAAGAUUUUAAAUUGCUAAAUUUUACGUGUUCAUUCUAGAGCUGUUCCAGACCUAAUCAGACACUUGAUUGUGAGCAUAAAGAAAAAAAGGAAAAAAAAAUUAUGUUUUUAUAAUUAGAGAUGGGCUAGGCUAGUUCUGAAAUCAUAAUAAAAGCCAAAAACUUGACAUUCUUCCAUAUGUGGGAGGACGUGCUGA
Long non-coding RNA from Bos taurus (domestic cattle), 5642 nucleotides. The record is from Ensembl. NCBI's taxonomy places the organism in Eukaryota, Metazoa, Chordata, Mammalia, Artiodactyla, Bovidae.